Molecule: long non-coding RNA, 200 nt
Filed under: Manacus vitellinus (golden-collared manakin)
Lineage: Eukaryota; Metazoa; Chordata; Aves; Passeriformes; Pipridae
Description: lncRNA (ENSMVIG00005001968.1)
Source: RNAcentral
CCAGGGCACAGAUCCAAGCACAGAUGGAGAGCAGCACAGAUUGCUGAGCCAUUCCAGUCUGAAGGAGGAUGGAUAAAGCUUGGGUAGAAAAUAUGCAAUUUUGCUGCUGUUAUAAAAGGUACAGGAAAAUAUGGAAAACUAGCAGAAAGUUAGUUCAAGGAAUACAAGAGAAGCCUGGAUUUUUGGCAUUGGAAACUGGG